CUGGCAUCGCACCACUUUCUGU
Molecule: microRNA, 22 nt
Filed under: Oreochromis niloticus (Nile tilapia)
Lineage: Eukaryota; Metazoa; Chordata; Actinopteri; Cichliformes; Cichlidae
Description: oni-miR-10973
Source: miRBase by way of RNAcentral